RNAcentral lists this ribosomal RNA (183 nucleotides) under uncultured bacterium. Its description in RNAcentral is "partial 16S ribosomal RNA". It matches the Rfam family "Bacterial small subunit ribosomal RNA", at positions 346 to 523 of the family's 1533-position model. The record is from RNAcentral.
AGGCAGCAGUGGGGAAUAUUGGACAAUGGGGGGAACCCUGAUCCAGCCAUGCCGCGUGUGUGAAGAAGGCCUUAUGGUUGUAAAGCACUUUAAGCGAGGAGGAGGCUUACGGGUUAAUACCCAGGAUAUGGACGUUACUCGCAGAAUAAGCACCGGCUAACUCUGUGCCAGCAGCCGCGGUAA